GACGAACGCUGGCGGCGUGCUUAACACAUGCAAGUCGAACGGAAAGGCCCUGCUUGCAGGGUACUCGAGUGGCGAACGGGUGAGUAACACGUGGGUGAUCUGCCCUGCACUUCGGGAUAAGCCUGGGAAACUGGGUCUAAUACCGGAUAGGAGCCAUUUUUAGUGUGAUGGUUGGAAAGUUUUGUCGGUGUAGGAUGAGCUCGCGGCCUAUCAGCUUGUUGGUGGGGUAAUGGCCUACCAAGGCGGCGACGGGUAGCCGGCCUGAGAGGGUGGACGGCCACAUUGGGACUGAGAUACGGCCCAGACUCCUACGGGAGGCAGCAGUGGGGAAUAUUGCACAAUGGGCGCAAGCCUGAUGCAGCGACGCCGCGUGGGGGAUGACGGCCUUCGGGUUGUAAACUCCUUUCGCUAGGGACGAAGCUUUUUGUGACGGUACCUAGAUAAGAAGCACCGGCUAACUACGUG
This 465-nucleotide ribosomal RNA is filed under the name uncultured bacterium. RNAcentral describes it as "partial 16S ribosomal RNA". It matches the Rfam family "Bacterial small subunit ribosomal RNA", at positions 28 to 507 of the family's 1533-position model. The record is from RNAcentral.